GACGAACGCUGGCGGCGUGCUUAACACAUGCAAGUCGAACGGAAAGGCCCUGCUUUUGUGGGGUGCUCGAGUGGCGCACGGGUGAGUAACACGUGAGUAACCUGCCCUUGACUUUGGGAUAACUUCAGGAAACUGGGGCUAAUACCGGAGAGGAGCUCCUGCUGCAUGGUGGGGGUUGGAAAGUUUCGGCGGUUGGGGCUGGACUCGAGGCUUAUCAGCUUGUUUGUGGGGUAGGGGUGUCCAAGGGGUUUGACGGGUAGCCGGCCUGGGAGGGUAGCCGGGCACAUGGGUCCUGCGGUAGGCACCAGACGCCUACGGGCGGCAGUAGGCGGGAAUAUUGCACAAUGGGCGGAAGCCUGAUGCAGCAACGUCGCGUUCGGAAAGACGGCCUUCGGGUUGUAAACCGCUUUCGCCUGUGACGAAGCGUGAGUGACGGUAAUGGGUAAAGAAGCACCGGCUAACUACGUG
This 468-nucleotide ribosomal RNA is filed under the name uncultured bacterium. RNAcentral's name for it is "partial 16S ribosomal RNA". It matches the Rfam family "Bacterial small subunit ribosomal RNA", at positions 28 to 507 of the family's 1533-position model. The record is from RNAcentral.